CCGUCAAUGAAUUAGAAAUUUAGUUAGUCCAGUACCAAAGCACAGUGAGUUGCUUGCAAGUCACUGAAGUGAUCUCAGAUCUAAAGGACACUUAUACCUAUAUCCCAUCAGAGACAUUCUCGACAACAGAAUGCUCUGGAGUUGGUCACGUUCAAUGAUGAUGUACCCUUACAUCUCACCUGUAUGCCAUACCAGUGUCUCCACACUCCUUGGUUAAGAGGACAACCAACCUAUAUGGCCUACAGUGACCUAUGCUCGAUAGAAGCUGUCGUCCUUAUUAACAGCCUAUCAUUUGGUCG
Molecule: long non-coding RNA, 299 nt
Filed under: Elaeis guineensis (African oil palm)
Lineage: Eukaryota; Viridiplantae; Streptophyta; Magnoliopsida; Arecales; Arecaceae
Description: long non-coding RNA (EGUI_LNC064085)
Source: RNAcentral